Molecule: ribosomal RNA, 253 nt
Filed under: uncultured bacterium
Lineage: Bacteria
Description: partial 16S ribosomal RNA
Rfam family: Bacterial small subunit ribosomal RNA
Source: RNAcentral
UACAGAGGGUGCAAGCGUUGUUCGGAAUUAUUGGGCGUAAAGGGAGUGUAGGCUGUGAGGUAAGUCUUCUGUGAAAUCUACGGGCUUAGCCUGUAACGUGCAGAGGAAACUGCUUCGCUUGAGUGUCGGAGAGGAUAGGGGAAUACCCGGUGUAGAGGUGAAAUUCGUAGAGAUCGGGUGGAACACCAGUGGCGAAGGCGCCUAUCUGGCUGACAACUGACGCUGAGACUCGAAAGCGAGGGGAGCAAAUGGG